Molecule: long non-coding RNA, 1069 nt
Organism: Peromyscus eremicus (cactus mouse)
Lineage: Eukaryota; Metazoa; Chordata; Mammalia; Rodentia; Cricetidae
Exons: 2
Source: RefSeq, a predicted model, not a curated record
UUUACGUAACCGGCUGCGCCUCCGCACGCAGCAGCCGCGGCCGGCUCCGCCGCUGUCGCCGCCGCCCUGCCCGGCGCCCCGCGCGAUUCCCCGACGGGCGCGCCCUCCUCCUGAGCCGCCUCCUUGGAGAGAUGCCACACGUGGCGGUCGCAAGUUUAUUCGACUGCAAACGCGUCCGAGUCGCGGGGAAAGGCAACUGCGAGCCAGGCGCACGCCCUCGGCCGCCUCUCCGCCGAGCUCACGCCCCGGGGCAUCAGCCGAGGACGCGGACGCGGGGGGCGGGGACCGAGCCGGGCGCCGCGCCUCCUAGAAGACACUUCUUCCCGCGUCCGCCGACGGCCGCCGAGCCCCUGGUCCUGCCGCGCCGCGCCGCUCCGGCAUUCUCCAGCUCAGUAACAAUUUCGCAGAAUCCCAUCACGUCACAAUCCAGGCCCCCUCCAAUUGGCCAGUGGGGAGGGUGAUUCAACUCUGUUUACUUUCUCCCCCUGCCAGUCAGAAGGGCCCUUCGGUGGAGAGGUGCGUCUAGAACUACGGCGCGCGGCCAAUCCGACCGUUCCGUUCCGCCGCCGCGUGCUGCCCCUCCAGCCCCGAACGCUGACAUUUAAAAGGGAAACUGCUCCGAGCCGGGCGGCGCAGCCCCGCGGAUGCCGCCCGGUCCGCGCGCGCGCCCACGCCUCCCGGCCCACGUGCCAGCUGGCGUGGCUUGGAGACGUAUCUCCCCCCGGCGGUUACACCCGUCCCUAGGGACGAAACAGAACUUCAGCUUCGGGUUUCCAGCCCUCAAACAGUUAAGUGACUUCCUGCAAACGCUACAGUCCCAGCAACCAGCCUUCCAAUCAAAAAAUUCACAGGAGCUGGCCAUUAUGGUGCACACCCGAAGUCCCAGUACUUAGAAGGAUGGAGCAUUUGAGGAGGCCAGCCUGGGGAUAACCUGGGCUCCAGAGUGAGAUCCUGCCUCAAGAAAGAAAAGAAAGAAGGAGAAGGAAGAAAAAAAAGGGAAGGAGGGAGGGGGGGAUUGAGUCUGCCUCAUUUGUGAUCAUUUUUUCUAGAAUAAACUGUCCUUAGGAUA